CCUACGGGAGGCAGCAGUGGGGGAUAUUGCACAAUGGGGGGAACCCUGAUGCAGCGACGCCGCGUGGGUGAAGAAGCGCCUCGGCGCGUAAAGCCCUGUCAGCAGGGAAGAAAAUGACGGUACCUGAAGAAGAAGCCCCGGCUAACUACGUGCCAGCCGCCGCGGUAAUACGUAGGGGGCAAGCGUUAUCCGGAUUUACUGGGUGUAAAGGGGGCGCAGACGGCGAUGCAAGCCAGGAGUGAAAGCACGGGGCCCAACCCCGGGACUGCUCUUGGAACUGCGUGGCUGGAGUGCAGGAGGGGCAGGCGGAAUUCCUGGUGUAGCGGUGAAAUGCGUAGAUAUCAGGAGGAACACCGGUGGCGAAGGCGGCCUGCCGGACUGCAACUGACGUUGAGGCCCGAAAGCGUGGGGAGCAAACAGGAUUAGAUACCCCUGUAGUC
This 440-nucleotide ribosomal RNA is filed under the name uncultured bacterium. Its description in RNAcentral is "partial 16S ribosomal RNA". It matches the Rfam family "Bacterial small subunit ribosomal RNA", at positions 338 to 795 of the family's 1533-position model. The record is from RNAcentral.